RNAcentral lists this non-coding RNA (31 nucleotides) under Mus musculus (house mouse). Lineage: Eukaryota; Metazoa; Chordata; Mammalia; Rodentia; Muridae. The record is from RNAcentral.
UACCUGACUAUAAGCAGCUUAUACCUGACAC